This 254-nucleotide ribosomal RNA is filed under the name uncultured bacterium. Its description in RNAcentral is "partial 16S ribosomal RNA". It matches the Rfam family "Bacterial small subunit ribosomal RNA", at positions 524 to 776 of the family's 1533-position model. The record is from RNAcentral.
UACGUAGGGUGCGAGCGUUGUCCGGAAUUAUUGGGCGUAAAGAGCUCGUAGGCGGUUCGGUAAGUCAGGUGUGAAAACUCCAGGCUCAACUUGGAGACGCCACCUGAUACUGUCGUGACUAGAGUCCAGUAGGGGAUCAUGGAAUUCCUGGUGUAGCGGUGAAAUGCGCAGAUAUCAGGAGGAACACCAGCGGCGAAGGCGGUGCUCUGGGCCGGAACUGACGCUGAGGAGCGAAAGCGUGGGGAGCGAACAGG